Molecule: ribosomal RNA, 253 nt
Filed under: uncultured bacterium
Lineage: Bacteria
Description: partial 16S ribosomal RNA
Rfam family: Bacterial small subunit ribosomal RNA
Source: RNAcentral
UACGGGGGGGGCAAGCGUUGUUCGGAAUUACUGGGCGUAAAGGGCUCGUAGGCGGCCAACUAAGUCGGAUGUGAAAUCCCCAGGCUUAACCUGGGAACUGCAUCCGAUACUGGAUGGCUUGAAUCCGGGAGAGGGAUGCAGAAUUCCAGGUGUAGCGGUGAAAUGCGUAGAUAUCUGGAGGAAUACCGGUGGCGAAGGCGACUCACUGGACACAUAUUGACGCUGAGGUGCGAAAGCGUGGGGAGCAAACAGG